RNAcentral lists this ribosomal RNA (252 nucleotides) under uncultured bacterium. RNAcentral's name for it is "partial 16S ribosomal RNA". It matches the Rfam family "Bacterial small subunit ribosomal RNA", at positions 524 to 776 of the family's 1533-position model. The record is from RNAcentral.
UACGUAGGUCCCGAGCGUUGUCCGGAUUUAUUGGGCGUAAAGCGAGCGCCGGUGGUUUAUUAAGUCUGGUGUAAAAGGCAGUGGCUCAACCAUUGUAUGCAUUGGAAACUGGUAGACUUGAGUGCAGGAGAGGAGAGUGGAAUUCCAUGUGUAGCGGUGAAAUGCGUAGAUAUAUGGAGGAACACCGGUGGCGAAAGCGGCUCUCUGGCCUGUAACUGACACUGAGGCUCGAAAGCGUGGGGAGCAAACAGG